Molecule: long non-coding RNA, 259 nt
Organism: Haliotis rubra (blacklip abalone)
Lineage: Eukaryota; Metazoa; Mollusca; Gastropoda; Lepetellida; Haliotidae
Exons: 3
Source: RefSeq, a predicted model, not a curated record
GUCAAUCUUAACAAGGUCAAGGUUGUUGAAGCUACAUUAAUAUUCUUGGUCAAUCUUAACAAGGUCAAGGUUGUUGAAGCUACAUUAAUAUUCUUGGUCAAUCUUAACAAGGUCAAGGUUGUUGAAGCUACAUUAAUAUUCUUGGUCAAUCUUAACAAGGUCAAGGUUGUUGAAGCUACAUUAAUAUUCUUGGUCAAUCUUAACAAGGUCAAGGUUGUUGAAGCUACAUUAAUAUUCUUGGUCAAUCUUAACAAGGUCA